GACGAACGCUGGCGGCGUGCUUAACACAUGCAAGUCGAACGAAGAGCGAUGGAAGCUUGCUUCUAUCAAUCUUAGUGGCGUACGGGUGAGUAACGCGUAAUCAACCUGCCCUUCAGAGGGGGACAACAGUUGGAAACGACUGCUAAUACCGCAUACGAUCUAAUCUCGGCAUCGAGGAUAGAUGAAAGGUGGCCUCUACAUGUAAGCUAUCACUGAAGGAGGGGAUUGCGUCUGAUUAGCUAGUUGGAGGGGUAACGGCCCACCAAGGCGAUGAUCAUUAGCCGGUCUGAGAGGAUGAACGGCCACAUUGGGACUGAGACACGGCCCAGACUCCUACGGGAGGCAGCAGUGGGGAAUCUUCCGCAAUGGACGAAAGUCUGACGGAGCAACGCCGCGUGAGUGAUGACGGCCUUCGGGUUGUAAAGCUCUGUUAAUCGGGACGAAAGGCCUUCUUGCGAAUAGUGAGAAGGAUUGACGGUACCGGAAUAGAAAGCCACGGCUAACUACGUG
Molecule: ribosomal RNA, 510 nt
Filed under: uncultured bacterium
Lineage: Bacteria
Description: partial 16S ribosomal RNA
Rfam family: Bacterial small subunit ribosomal RNA
Source: RNAcentral